This 440-nucleotide ribosomal RNA is filed under the name uncultured bacterium. RNAcentral describes it as "partial 16S ribosomal RNA". It matches the Rfam family "Bacterial small subunit ribosomal RNA", at positions 338 to 795 of the family's 1533-position model. The record is from RNAcentral.
CCUACGGGAGGCAGCAGUGGGGGAUAUUGCACAAUGGGGGAAACCCUGAUGCAGCAACGCCGCGUGAGUGAAGAAGUAUUUCGGUAUGUAAAGCCCUCUCAGCAGGGAAGAGACUGACGGUACCUGCCUACGAAGCCCCGGCUAACUACGUGCCAGCAGCCGCGGUAAUACGUAGGGGGCGUUGGUUAUCCGGAUUUACUGGGCGUAAGGGGAGCGUAGACGGCUGUUCAAGUCUGAAGUGAAAGCCCGGGGCUUAACCCCGGAACGGCCUUGGAAACUGAGCAGCUAGAGUGCUGGAGAGGUAAGCGGAAUACCUAGUGUAGCGGUGAAAUGCGUAGAUAUUAGGAGGAACACCAGUUGCGAAGGCAGCUUACUGGACAGAAACUGACGUUGAGGCUCGAAAGCGUGGGGAGCAAACAGGAUUAGAUACCCCAGUAGUC